AGUUGUAGUUCUAGCUCAAUCUCUUUUGUCGUCGUCCCCAUUCUAAGGCCCAAGCAAAAUGAGUAUGAGAGACCACAUUUCCUAGGAUGCCCUGCGGUGCGAUCAAGCUCACUUCCCCCUUAGGCGGAGGGAAGGAUGCAGGGAAGCUUGGUUAAAAACAGAGUUAAAGGGAAUGGGUGUCGGAAGCAGAGGGUCUGAAGUUCACGGCUCCUAGAAGGGGAGGGGAAUGAAAGGCUCUCAGUGAAGAAGGUCCAGAAUCCUUCAGAUCAACUUACCAAUAAGUUCAAUAUGUAAAAUAGUUAAAUGUGGAUGAAAUGAGGAAGGAUGAAAGUUAUUCCAACCGUCAACACUCCCUAUCCCUGUUCCCACCCUCCCUAUCUGGGAGGCUCCAGGGAGUAUUUUGAACAUCAUUGGAGUAAUUCAUCCCCUCAUAAAUGACUUUAAAACAGCAUGUCUGUAAUAUGCUACAUUAAAAUUUCUACCCAUUUCA
Bubalus bubalis (water buffalo) is the source of this 490-nucleotide long non-coding RNA. RefSeq lists it as uncharacterized. The transcript has 2 exons. NCBI's taxonomy places the organism in Eukaryota, Metazoa, Chordata, Mammalia, Artiodactyla, Bovidae. The record is from RefSeq and is a predicted model, not a curated record.